This is a non-coding RNA of Podarcis lilfordi (Lilford's wall lizard), 70 nucleotides long. The record is from the annotation of a GenBank genome assembly. NCBI's taxonomy places the organism in Eukaryota, Metazoa, Chordata, Lepidosauria, Squamata, Lacertidae.
GGACAUAGGUCAGUGGAAGAGCAUUUGCAUUGCACGCAGAAGGUCUCAGGUUCAAUCGCUGGCAUCUCCA